This 863-nucleotide ribosomal RNA is filed under the name Halomonas sp. K2-28L-053. RNAcentral describes it as "bacterial SSU rRNA". It matches the Rfam family "Bacterial small subunit ribosomal RNA", at positions 45 to 905 of the family's 1533-position model. Lineage: Bacteria; Pseudomonadati; Pseudomonadota; Gammaproteobacteria; Oceanospirillales; Halomonadaceae. The record is from RNAcentral.
GGCCUAACACAUGCAAGUCGAGCGGUAACAGAUCCAGCUUGCUGGAUGCUGACGAGCGGCGGACGGGUGAGUAAUGCAUAGGAAUCUGCCCGAUAGUGGGGGAUAACCUGGGGAAACCCAGGCUAAUACCGCAUACGUCCUACGGGAGAAAGGGGGCUCCGGCUCCCGCUAUGGGAUGAGCCUAUGUCGGAUUAGCUAGUUGGUGAGGUAACGGCUCACCAAGGCCACGAUCCGUAGCUGGUCUGAGAGGAUGAUCAGCCACAUCGGGACUGAGACACGGCCCGAACUCCUACGGGAGGCAGCAGUGGGGAAUAUUGGACAAUGGGGGAAACCCUGAUCCAGCCAUGCCGCGUGUGUGAAGAAGGCCCUCGGGUUGUAAAGCACUUUCAGCGAGGAAGAACGCCUAGCGGUUAAUACCCGCUAGGAAAGACAUCACUCGCAGAAGAAGCACCGGCUAACUCCGUGCCAGCAGCCGCGGUAAUACGGAGGGUGCAAGCGUUAAUCGGAAUUACUGGGCGUAAAGCGCGCGUAGGUGGCUUGAUAAGCCGGUUGUGAAAGCCCCGGGCUCAACCUGGGAACGGCAUCCGGAACUGUCAAGCUAGAGUGCAGGAGAGGAAGGUAGAAUUCCCGGUGUAGCGGUGAAAUGCGUAGAGAUCGGGAGGAAUACCAGUGGCGAAGGCGGCCUUCUGGACUGACACUGACACUGAGGUGCGAAAGCGUGGGUAGCAAACAGGAUUAGAUACCCUGGUAGUCCACGCCGUAAACGAUGUCGACCAGCCGUUGGGUGCCUAGCGCACUUUGUGGCGAAGUUAACGCGAUAAGUCGACCGCCUGGGGAGUACGGCCGCAAGGUUAAAACUCAAA